AUUGAACGCUGGCGGCAGGCCUAACACAUGCAAGUCGAACGAGUGGCGGACGGGUGAGUAAUGUCUGGGAAACUGCCUGAUGGAGGGGGAUAACUACUGUAAACGGUAGCUAAUACCGCAUACCAUCAGAUGUUCCCAGAUGGGAUUAGCUAGUUGGUGGGGUAACGGCUCACCUAGGCGACGAUCCCUAGCUGGUCUGAGAGGAUGACCAGCAACACUGGAACUGAGAAACGGGCCAGACUCCGACGGGAGGCAGCAGUGGGGAAUAGUGCACAAUGGGAGCAAGCCUGAUGCAGCAAUGCCGCGUGUAUGAAGAAGGCCUUCGGGUUGUAAAGUACUUUCAGCGGGGAGGCGUUACCCGCAGAAGAAGCACCGGCUAACUCCGUGCCAGCAGCCGCGGUAAUAC
Molecule: ribosomal RNA, 406 nt
Filed under: uncultured bacterium
Lineage: Bacteria
Description: partial 16S ribosomal RNA
Rfam family: Bacterial small subunit ribosomal RNA
Source: RNAcentral